This 453-nucleotide ribosomal RNA is filed under the name uncultured Gammaproteobacteria bacterium. RNAcentral describes it as "bacterial SSU rRNA". It matches the Rfam family "Bacterial small subunit ribosomal RNA", at positions 410 to 856 of the family's 1533-position model. Lineage: Bacteria; Pseudomonadati; Pseudomonadota; Gammaproteobacteria. The record is from RNAcentral.
GAAGGCCUUCGGGUUGUAAAGCACUUUCAGUCAGGAGGAAAGGUUAGUAGUUAAUACCUGCUAGCUGUGACGUUACUGACAGAAGAAGCACCGGCUAACUCCGUGCCAGCAGCCGCGGUAAUACGGAGGGUGCGAGCGUUAAUCGGAAUUACUGGGCGUAAAGCGUACGCAGGCGGUUUGUUAAGCGAGAUGUGAAAGCCCCGGGCUCAACCUGGGAACUGCAUUUCGAACUGGCAAACUAGAGUGUGAUAGAGGGUGGUAGAAUUUCAGGUGUAGCGGUGAAAUGCGUAGAGAUCUGAAGGAAUACCGAUGGCGAAGGCAGCCACCUGGGUCAACACUGACGCUCAUGUACGAAAGCGUGGGGAGCAAACGGGAUUAGAUACCCCGGUAGUCCACGCCGUAUACGAUGUCUACUAGAAGCUCGGAGCCUCGGUUCUGUUUUUCAAAGCUAAC